This 67-nucleotide transfer RNA is filed under the name bovine gut metagenome. It matches the Rfam family "tRNA", at positions 6 to 65 of the family's 71-position model. From Rfam's summary of the family: Transfer RNA (tRNA) molecules are approximately 80 nucleotides in length. Their secondary structure includes four short double-helical elements and three loops (D, anti-codon, and T loops). Further hydrogen bonds mediate the characteristic L-shaped molecular structure. tRNAs have two regions of fundamental functional importance: the anti-codon, which is responsible for specific mRNA codon recognition, and the 3' end, to which the tRNAs corresponding amino acid is attached (by aminoacyl-tRNA synthetases). tRNAs cope with the degeneracy of the genetic code in two manners: having more than one tRNA (with a specific anti-codon) for a particular amino acid; and 'wobble' base-pairing, i.e. permitting non-standard base-pairing at the 3rd anti-codon position. The record is from RNAcentral.
GGGUGUUAGCUCAGCUGGUUAGAGCGCCGGCCUGUCACGUCGGAGGUCGAGGGUUCAAGUCCCUUAC